UUCAUAUUUGGACCUAACUGGAAUUAAGGUGGGUAAGGGCAACUGGUGAAUUUUUAAGGGUUCUACAUUCUAGCCAAUAUAUGCAUGUACAAAACAAGAUCCUGAAUAGUGGCCCUAAGUCCUCAUUGGACUCUACAAUUGAUCAGGGCCCCUUUGUAAGCGUUGUGGAGGAUGGUAUGGUGGUUGCAGUGGGAAAUGAACAAACAAACAAUAAUUCGAUGGAAGAAUUAUCGGAGACUCAGAAGAGUCAUUGUGAAAAUACUGAAAUUGUUUCUGUU
This is a long non-coding RNA of Humulus lupulus (European hop), 278 nucleotides long. RefSeq lists it as uncharacterized. The record is from RefSeq and is a predicted model, not a curated record. The transcript has 3 exons. NCBI's taxonomy places the organism in Eukaryota, Viridiplantae, Streptophyta, Magnoliopsida, Rosales, Cannabaceae.